GCCCUGGUGGUCUAGUGGUUAAGAUUUGCACUCUCACCGCCACAGUCUGGGUUCAUUUCCCAGCCAGGGAA
This 71-nucleotide transfer RNA is filed under the name Equus caballus (horse). It matches the Rfam family "tRNA". Rfam says of the family: Transfer RNA (tRNA) molecules are approximately 80 nucleotides in length. Their secondary structure includes four short double-helical elements and three loops (D, anti-codon, and T loops). Lineage: Eukaryota; Metazoa; Chordata; Mammalia; Perissodactyla; Equidae. The record is from Rfam by way of RNAcentral.